This 495-nucleotide ribosomal RNA is filed under the name uncultured bacterium. RNAcentral's name for it is "partial 16S ribosomal RNA". It matches the Rfam family "Bacterial small subunit ribosomal RNA", at positions 28 to 507 of the family's 1533-position model. The record is from RNAcentral.
GACGAACGCUGGCGGCGUGCCUAAUACAUGCAAGUAGAACGCUGAAGGAGGAGCUUGCUUCUCUGGAUGAGUUGCGAACGGGUGAGUAACGCGUAGGUAACCUGCCUGGUAGCGGGGGAUAACUAUUGGAAACGAUAGCUAAUACCGCAUAAUAGUAGAUGUUGCAUGACAUUUGCUUAAAAGGUGCAAUUGCAUCACUACCAGAUGGACCUGCGUUGUAUUAGCUAGUUGGUGAGGUAACGGCUCACCAAGGCAACGAUACAUAGCCGACCUGAGAGGGUGAUCGGCCACACUGGGACUGAGACACGGCCCAGACUCCUACGGGAGGCAGCAGUAGGGAAGCUUCGGCAAUGGACGGAAGUCUGACCGAGCAACGCCGCGUGAGUGAAGAAGGUUUUCGGAUCGUAAAGCUCUGUUGUAAGAGAAGAACGAGUGUGAGAGUGGAAAGUUCACACUGUGACGGUAUCUUACCAGAAAGGGACGGCUAACUACGUG